CUAGCGAGACUGCCGGUAAUAAACCGGAGGAAGGUGGGGAUGACGUCAAAUCAUCAUGCCCCUUAUGGACCUGGGCUACACACGUGCUACAAUGGUUGGUACAACGAGGUUGCGAGUCGGUGACGGCGAGCUAAUCUCUUAAAGCCAAUCUCAGUUCGGAUUGUAGGCUGCAACUCGCCUACAUGAAGUCGGAAUCGCUAGUAAUCGCGGAUCAGCACGCCGCGGUGAAUACGUUCCCGGGCCUU
This 245-nucleotide ribosomal RNA is filed under the name uncultured Streptococcus sp. RNAcentral's name for it is "partial 16S ribosomal RNA". It matches the Rfam family "Bacterial small subunit ribosomal RNA", at positions 1140 to 1382 of the family's 1533-position model. The record is from RNAcentral. Lineage: Bacteria; Bacillati; Bacillota; Bacilli; Lactobacillales; Streptococcaceae.